UCCGCAAUGGUUUGUUGUCUACCC
This 24-nucleotide non-coding RNA is filed under the name Arabidopsis thaliana (thale cress). Lineage: Eukaryota; Viridiplantae; Streptophyta; Magnoliopsida; Brassicales; Brassicaceae. The record is from RNAcentral.